GAUGAACGCUGGCGGUGUGCUUAACACAUGCAAGUCGAACGAGAAGUGAAGACGGAAACCUUCGGGCGGAAGGCUUUAUUUCGAGUGGCGGACGGGUGAGUAACGCGUGGGUAACCUGCCUCAUACAGGGGGAUAACAGUUGGAAACGACUGUUAAUACCGCAUAAGACCACCGCACCGCAUGGUGCGGGGGUAAAAACUCCGGUGGUAUGAGAUGGACCCGCGUUCGAUUAGCCAGUUGGCGGGGUAACGGCCCACCAAAGCGACGAUCGAUAGCCGAUCUGAGAGGAUGACCGGCCACAGUGGGACUGAGACACGGCCCAAACUCCUACGGGAGGCAGCAGUGGGGAAUAUUGCACAAUGGGGGAAACCCUGAUGCAGCGACGCCGCGCGAGUGAAGAAGUAUUUCGGUAUGUAAAGCUCUAUCAGCAGGGAAGAAAAUGACGGUACCUGAGUAAGAAGCCCCGGCUAACUACGUG
RNAcentral lists this ribosomal RNA (478 nucleotides) under uncultured bacterium. RNAcentral's name for it is "partial 16S ribosomal RNA". It matches the Rfam family "Bacterial small subunit ribosomal RNA", at positions 28 to 507 of the family's 1533-position model. The record is from RNAcentral.